This 2599-nucleotide long non-coding RNA is filed under the name Felis catus (domestic cat). RNAcentral describes it as "lncRNA (ENSFCAG00000049101.1)". The stretch from base 2166 to 2599 matches the Rfam family "Eukaryotic small subunit ribosomal RNA", at positions 1 to 388 of the family's 1831-position model. The record is from RNAcentral. Lineage: Eukaryota; Metazoa; Chordata; Mammalia; Carnivora; Felidae.
AUGGGGGGAAGAAGAGAGAAAGGGGCGCCGGCUGCGCGCGUCGGGGGUUCGGCCGGGGCGGGGCGCGGGUGGUGGGUCGCCGCGUGUGCGGGAGAGCGUUCCAGGGGCCGGUCGUGCGGCUGCUGCGGGUGGCAGGGCCGGAGGGCCCUCUGCGAGGGUUUGCCCCAGGGUUCGCCGAGGGGGCGGGCCGGGUCUGCGUCCGGGGGUGGGGCGGGGCCUGGCUCGUGGGGAGGCUCGCUAAGGGUGCUGAGGCCGGCUGGCGCCGCGGGCGUCGCGGGACCGCCCUCGUGCUGGUGGCGGUGGGAUCCCGUGCACGUUUACCCGGUGGCCUGGCUCGCGUCUCCGUUGGCGCGCCCUUCCCCGAGCCCGUGCCCUCCUCCGCGCGCGCGCUCUCUGGUCCUCGCUUCGUGCGUGUGCCUCCUCCCCGCAGCCUCCGGCCCACCUCCCGUUCUGUGCUGCUUUUUUUUUUCCCCCCUCCGUCUCGGCUCGGACGACCGAGCGCGCGUCCGCCCCUUCUCCUCUCCCUCCCCCGUCACCGUGUCGGGCCCGAGACCAGGCCUCGCCGCUUGUCGGGUGCCCGCCCCCCCCUUGGGCCGCCAUGGCUCUUGGGGGGCCGGGUCCCGGGCGGAGUGCUGUCGGCCCCGCUCGCGUGAGCGAAGGAAUGGGGGGAAGAAGAGAGAAAGGGGCGCCGGCUGCGCGCGUCGGGGGUUCGGCCGGGGCGGGGCGCGGGUGGUGGGUCGCCGCGUGUGCGGGAGAGCGUUCCAGGGGCCGGUCGUGCGGCUGCUGCGGGUGGCAGGGCCGGAGGGCCCUCUGCGAGGGUUUGCCCCAGGGUUCGCCGAGGGGGCGGGCCGGGUCUGCGUCCGGGGGUGCCACGGGACCGCCCUUGUGCUGGAGGCCUCGGGCGGUGGGACCCCGUGCGCACCCCGGUGGCGACUUGGCUCCGCCCCCUCGAGGCGCCUGGUUGGAAACCCGUGGGGCUCCCUUGCCGUUGGCCCGCGGUCCUGUUCCCCGUCGCUCUUCGCCGGCGCCUCGUUGCCCUUGCCGCCAGGCCGUCCGUGUCGUGGCCUCCUCCGUUCGGCUACCAAACCCGGUGGCGCGCUCUGGUGUGUGGGCGCUUCCCAGGCCCGCUGCGGCCUCCUCUCCGUGUCCGCCGCCACCGUCCGGCCCGGCGGCGGUGUUGUGUGCAGACGGGGGGGAUCGUCCGUCCCCUUCCUCCGCCGUGCCCCCCCCCACCCCCCGCUCUGGCGCGCGCGCGCCUGGGCGUGGGGCGGGUCCCGGCUUGUCCGUCGUUGGCUGCCCCGCGACCGCGCGCCCGCCCCCCCGGUGGAGGGGUGCCCGGGUCUCGGCCCGGCCCCCGCCCCGCGUGAGCGUGUGCGCCGGCCUGCUGUGCCAGCCUCGGCGCGACCUGUCCGGGGCUCCGUCCCUCGCUCGCGCGCCGCCACCGGGUUGUUGGGGGUCGGCGCGCGUUGGAGGGGGGGACGUGUGCGUGUCCUCCCCCGCCUCUCCACGCCGUCGCCGGUGUUGGCCCGGUCCCGCGGGGGCGGGGUCGGUCAGUCCGUCACGCUCGCUCGCUGCGGGGUGGGACGGGGCCCGUCUUGAGUGGGCGCGGCGCGCGCGCCUGGGCGUGGGGCGGGUCCCGGCUUGUCCGUCGUUGGCUGCCCCGCGACCGCGCGCCCGCCCCCCCGGUGGAGGGGUGCCCGGGUCUCGGCCCGGCCCCCGCCCCGCGUGAGCGUGUGCGCCGGCCUGCUGUGCCAGCCUCGGCGCGACCUGUCCGGGGCUCCGUCCCUCGCUCGCGCGCCGCCACCGGGUUGUUGGGGGUCGGCGCGCGUUGGAGGGGGGGACGUGUGCGUGUCCUCCCCCGCCUCUCCACGCCGUCGCCGGUGUUGGCCCGGUCCCGCGGGGGCGGGGUCGGUCAGUCCGUCACGCUCGCUCGCUGCGGGGUGGGACGGGGCCCGUCUUGAGUGGGCGCGGCGCGCGCGCCUGCUCCUCCGCCUUUUCCUCCCCGCGGGCUCCCGCGCCCCGGGGGGGAGGGGGGCCGCCGCCGCCACCGCCGCCAGCCCGCCGCCACCGCCCGGCCGCGUCGCGGCCCCGUGCUCCGUACGCCCGGUCCACCGUGAGACGUGUGCCACCCCCCGGUGCGCGCUCUCUCUGGCUCACCGCGCUCCUACCUGGUUGAUCCUGCCAGUAGCAUAUGCUUGUCUCAAAGAUUAAGCCAUGCAUGUCUAAGUACGCACGGCUGGUACAGUGAAACUGCGAAUGGCUCAUUAAAUCAGUUAUGGUUCCUUUGGUCGCUCGCUCCUCUCCUACUUGGAUAACUGUGGUAAUUCUAGAGCUAAUACAUGCCGACGGGCGCUGACCCCCCUCGCGGGGGGGAUGCGUGCAUUUAUCAGAUCAAAACCAACCCGGUCAGCCUCCCCCCGGCCCCGGCCGGGGGGCGGGCGCCGGCGGCUUUGGUGACUCUAGAUAACCUCGGGCCGAUCGCACGCCCCCCGUGGCGGCGACGACCCAUUCGAACGUCUGCCCUAUCAACUUUCGAUGGUAGUCGCCGUGCCUACCAUGGUGACCACGGGUGACGGGGAAUCAGGGUUCGAUUCCGGAG